Molecule: ribosomal RNA, 1371 nt
Filed under: Streptomyces sp.
Lineage: Bacteria; Bacillati; Actinomycetota; Actinomycetes; Kitasatosporales; Streptomycetaceae
Description: bacterial SSU rRNA
Rfam family: Bacterial small subunit ribosomal RNA
Source: RNAcentral
ACUUCGGUGGGGAUUAGUGGCGAACGGGUGAGUAACACGUGGGCAAUCUGCCCUGCACUCUGGGACAAGCCCUGGAAACGGGGUCUAAUACCGGAUACUGAACCUUGCAGGCAUCUGUGAGGGUCGAAAGCUCCGGCGGUGCAGGAUGAGCCCGCGGCCUAUCAGCUAGUUGGUGAGGUAAUGGCUCACCAAGGCGACGACGGGUAGCCGGCCUGAGAGGGCGACCGGCCACACUGGGACUGAGACACGGCCCAGACUCCUACGGGAGGCAGCAGUGGGGAAUAUUGCACAAUGGGCGAAAGCCUGAUGCAGCGACGCCGCGUGAGGGAUGACGGCCUUCGGGUUGUAAACCUCUUUCAGCAGGGAAGAAGCGAAAGUGACGGUACCUGCAGAAGAAGCGCCGGCUAACUACGUGCCAGCAGCCGCGGUAAUACGUAGGGCGCAAGCGUUGUCCGGAAUUAUUGGGCGUAAAGAGCUCGUAGGCGGCUUGUCGCGUCGGUUGUGAAAGCCCGGGGCUUAACCCCGGGUCUGCAGUCGAUACGGGCAGGCUAGAGUUCGGUAGGGGAGAUCGGAAUUCCUGGUGUAGCGGUGAAAUGCGCAGAUAUCAGGAGGAACACCGGUGGCGAAGGCGGAUCUCUGGGCCGAUACUGACGCUGAGGAGCGAAAGCGUGGGGAGCGAACAGGAUUAGAUACCCUGGUAGUCCACGCCGUAAACGGUGGGCACUAGGUGUGGGCAACAUUCCACGUUGUCCGUGCCGCAGCUAACGCAUUAAGUGCCCCGCCUGGGGAGUACGGCCGCAAGGCUAAAACUCAAAGGAAUUGACGGGGGGCCCGCACAAGCGGCGGAGCAUGUGGCUUAAUUCGACGCAACGCGAAGAACCUUACCAAGGCUUGACAUACACCGGAAACGGCCAGAGAUGGUCGCCCCCUUGUGGUCGGUGUACAGGUGGUGCAUGGCUGUCGUCAGCUCGUGUCGUGAGAUGUUGGGUUAAGUCCCGCAACGAGCGCAACCCUUGUCCCGUGUUGCCAGCAGGCCCUUGUGGUGCUGGGGACUCACGGGAGACCGCCGGGGUCAACUCGGAGGAAGGUGGGGACGACGUCAAGUCAUCAUGCCCCUUAUGUCUUGGGCUGCACACGUGCUACAAUGGCCGGUACAAUGAGCUGCGAUACCGCAAGGUGGAGCGAAUCUCAAAAAGCCGGUCUCAGUUCGGAUUGGGGUCUGCAACUCGACCCCAUGAAGUCGGAGUCGCUAGUAAUCGCAGAUCAGCAUUGCUGCGGUGAAUACGUUCCCGGGCCUUGUACACACCGCCCGUCACGUCACGAAAGUCGGUAACACCCGAAGCCGGUGGCCCAACCCCUUGUGGGAGGGAG